GAGGAGUCAUUUGGUGGGUUUUGAGUGAAAUCCAAUCUCUACAAUUAUGCAAUACACCAACCACUCCAUUUCAUAACGAACUUCGUUCCAACUUGAAUUGUCCAAUUUCAGGGAUCAAUCAAUAUAUGAUUGGGUCCAAAACCUGGGGAAAAUCAUAAUAUUGUGGGAGGAGUCAUUUGGUGGGUUUUGAGUGAAAUCCAACCUCUAGAACUAUACAAUACAUCAAC
Molecule: long non-coding RNA, 227 nt
Filed under: Prunus persica (peach)
Lineage: Eukaryota; Viridiplantae; Streptophyta; Magnoliopsida; Rosales; Rosaceae
Description: long non-coding RNA (PPER_LNC001063)
Source: RNAcentral